UGAGGAAUAUUGGACAAUGGGCGCAAGCCUGAUCCAGCCACGCCGCGUGCAGGAAGACACCCCUACGGGGCGUAAACUGCUUUUAUGUGAGAAGAACCCCCGGGAUGCGUCCCGGGUUGACGGUACCGCAAGAAUAAGCACCGGCUAACUCCGUGCCAGCAGCCGCGGUAAUACGGAGGGUGCAAGCGUUGUCCGGAAUUAUUGGGUGUAAAGGGUGUGUAGGCGGGCGUGUAAGUCAGAGGUGAAAGCCUGCGGCUCAACCGUAGAAUUGCCUUUGAUACUGCAUGUCUUGAGUCCUGGAGAGGUCGCCGGAAUUCGUGGUGUAGCGGUGAAAUGCGUAGAUAUCACGAGGAACACCUGAUACGAAGGUGGGUGGCUGGACAGGUACUGACGCUGAGGCACGAAAGCGUGGGGAGCGAACAGGAUUAGAUACCCCCGUAGUCC
This 444-nucleotide ribosomal RNA is filed under the name uncultured prokaryote. RNAcentral's name for it is "bacterial SSU rRNA". It matches the Rfam family "Bacterial small subunit ribosomal RNA", at positions 355 to 796 of the family's 1533-position model. The record is from RNAcentral.